Molecule: small nuclear RNA, 189 nt
Organism: Chiloscyllium plagiosum (whitespotted bambooshark)
Lineage: Eukaryota; Metazoa; Chordata; Chondrichthyes; Orectolobiformes; Hemiscylliidae
Product: U2 spliceosomal RNA
Source: RefSeq, a predicted model, not a curated record
UUAGUGUACUGGGCUGAGAACAUCUGUAGUCUCGAUUCUUACCAGUUUAAUAUUUGAUAUGUCCCUUAUCUGGGACAAUCUAUUAAACUGAUUUUUGAAGCAGAGAGAUGGACAAGGGACAUAGUCUGUAAACUCCAUGAAUCAACUUGGUAUUGCCGUAUCAGUACCUCUGGGAAUAGUGUACCCUGC